Molecule: ribosomal RNA, 580 nt
Filed under: uncultured Enterobacteriaceae bacterium
Lineage: Bacteria; Pseudomonadati; Pseudomonadota; Gammaproteobacteria; Enterobacterales; Enterobacteriaceae
Description: bacterial SSU rRNA
Rfam family: Bacterial small subunit ribosomal RNA
Source: RNAcentral
ACGGGUGAGUAAUGUCUGGGAAACUGCCCGAUGGAGGGGGAUAAUUACUGGAAACGGUAGCUAAUACCGCAUAACGUCUUCGGACCAAAGUGGGGGACCUUCGGGCCUCACACCAUCGGAUGUGCCCAGAUGGGAUUAGCUAGUAGGUGGGGUAACGGCUCACCUAGGCGACGAUCCCUAGCUGGUCUGAGAGGAUGACCAGCCACACUGGAACUGAGACACGGUCCAGACUCCUACGGGAGGCAGCAGUGGGGAAUAUUGCACAAUGGGCGCAAGCCUGAUGCAGCCAUGCCGCGUGUAUGAAGAAGGCCUUCGGGUUGUAAAGUACUUUCAGCGGGGAGGAAGGCGAUGUGGUUAAUAACCGCGUCGAUUGACGUUACCCGCAGAAGAAGCACCGGCUAACUCCGUGCCAGCAGCCGCGGUAAUACGGAGGGUGCAAGCGUUAAUCGGAAUUACUGGGCGUAAAGCGCACGCAGGCGGUCUGUCAAGUCGGAUGUGAAAUCCCCGGGCUUAACCUGGGAACUGCAUUCGAAACUGGCAGGCUUGAGUCUCGUAGAGGGGGGUAGAAUUCCAGGUGUAG